AGAGCCUGCUCCAAGAAAACUGUUAAUAAACACCAAAGGAAAACCUGAACCCGUUGUAAUCACAAGACCACCGUUACCACGUAUUCGAGAACCUGCUCCAGGAAAAAUGGUUAUAAAGAAGACCCCCAAAGGGAAAAUAUGGUAACAAAAUGUUAAUCUCAGUCACUAAAAGUCAGGGUUCCAAUGCUCAUUUGCAUAUUAGUGAUUAUGUCAUCGCAACAAAAUUUUCAUACAAUUUGGGUUGUCGUUGCAGUGAGGGACAGAUUACUAAAGCAAAAGCAAUGUUUUCCACAGUGAAGCUGUCUCGUCUGCAUUAGCCGGUUAGCCAAAUUUACUCAUAUUUCCCUAAUUAAACUGAACACUAAUGUGCAGAAUGAGUAAUAAU
This is a long non-coding RNA of Perca fluviatilis (European perch), 385 nucleotides long. RefSeq lists it as uncharacterized. The record is from RefSeq and is a predicted model, not a curated record. The transcript has 3 exons. Lineage: Eukaryota; Metazoa; Chordata; Actinopteri; Perciformes; Percidae.